Long non-coding RNA from Parasteatoda tepidariorum (common house spider), 1555 nucleotides. NCBI's taxonomy places the organism in Eukaryota, Metazoa, Arthropoda, Arachnida, Araneae, Theridiidae. The record is from RefSeq and is a predicted model, not a curated record.
AAAUGCGAAGUAUAAAUUUCAAACUUUCUUCUUCAAACUUCUUUUUUAAAUUUGAAGUUAUUUCAAUAGAUAUUUUUUAAGAAAAAUUUAAAAAAUGUGAUUUAAAUGUCUUACGUAGGCGUGAUUCAUAUACCGCCUUCCACUUGUCUGAUAAAAUUAGUAAAUCACAAAACCUUAUGUCCUUACAAAAUGCUUAAAGAUUCCUAUAAUGUUGCAUACGUAUUUCUGUCAUAAUAAUCAAUAUUUGAUAUUUUUCAGUCAUUGAAAACUUCACGAAAUAAAUACAAAUUCAACCAAGAUUCGUCAUCUUAGCUUUUUGAAGGAUCUUAAAAGAUAUCGAUUUGUAGAAGUGAUUGUUAAAAUCGAUAAGUCGCAGAACUAUUUGGAAGAUUAUAUUGCAUUAUGAUUCAGCUUAUACUAUCCUCGUAGUGUCCGUUACAGUCUCCAUCGUACUUUAAAUUGGCUCCUAUGCAAUUAUUCCUAUUUAUGCAAGAACAAUUUAAGAUCUUCAAGAAACUGAAAGAAUUUCCAAGUGUUACGAUGGCGAACAAUUCAAGUCACUGGACAGAUUUGAGCGAGUAAGUUUCGUUGAAAGAAGACUAUUUUUGAUGAAGUAAUCGCAUAUCUUUCGUGUAUACAUAAAAAGGACUGAAAUAUGUUAAGUCUGCGAAGUUAUCUUAUUUAAAUGUAAAUUUAUUUUUCAAGUAUCUUACAACUGAUUCUUGCAAAUGUAAUUAAAAUGUAUGGCGUGUGUGUAUCUUUCUUUACCCCCAAAAGCAUGAAAUAAGGUUCUAAAAGUAAGAGUAAAACACAAAUGUUAUAUUCCUGAAACUAAAAUACAAUUGAAAAUUCAUAUCGUAAACUAUUAAUUGAAUCUUAAUUUUAUCGAAAUCUCAGUUAAUUGCUUUAUAAAGUAAAAUUUACCUAAUUUUUGUAAGAUAAAAUUCAAUUGAAAUACACUUUCUAAUUUUGUUGAUUUAUUACAAGUAAACAUGCUUAGUCAGAUAAGAGAUGAAAAUAUUUACCCCGUCCUGCCCCAAUUCAGGGCAUAAGGAUAAAUGCUAAUUACAACUAAGUAAAGAACAUAAAGUGCAUAAAAUACAAAAGUCAUAUGACAACAGCUCGUAAACUUUGCGGGCGAUCAAGACUGUUGAACCAAAUUAGCCAUCUACAAUUAGUCAGAAUAUUAUAUCUUUAAGAAAACAUGACAAAUAUAUCAGUCAUGUAUGUCAUGAAAAGUCCAGUUCAGCAGAUCCUAAAGUAUGGAUUAAAAGCACAAGCAAUAUUAGAAGCAAAUUUAAAUAUAAAUUGCCAUUCUAGUUCAACAGACCCUUAUAUUGAGGCAAUCAAAUGGCAUAAAAUUUUUAAAAAAUUGGCUUAGUUAGAAAAGAGAGAUACUAUUUCAGUCAUUGUGUAAUUACAUCUGAGCAUUGGUUACAAAUUGACUUAUUGCGAAGUAAAAAGUAGCACUCUAAACAGGCAAUUAGUUUGGUAAAUACUAAUAUUCUAGUAAGUGCUUGUACAAACUGUAUAAUAAUUAUAAGAAAAAUAUGGU